Molecule: long non-coding RNA, 306 nt
Filed under: Gossypium barbadense (sea-island cotton)
Lineage: Eukaryota; Viridiplantae; Streptophyta; Magnoliopsida; Malvales; Malvaceae
Description: long non-coding RNA (GBAR_LNC012601)
Source: RNAcentral
GUGGUUGGUGUGGUGGGGGUGGUGGAAAUCCAGGUUGCUGAAAGUAAGAUGGUGGGGGUGGACCAUCAAAGCCAGGUUGGUGGAAGUAUGAUGAUGGAGGUGGCGGAGGAUAGGGUCCAACAAAGCCAGGUGGCUGCUGGUAGCUUGGUGGUGGAGGGUACGGCGGAGUAAAUUCAUGGUGGUGAAGGUGUGGGUGUGGGUGUGGGGGUGGGGGUCUUUCUUGGUUUUCUUCAUCAUCAUUUCUGUGGUGAUGAGUGUGAGAGCGGUUGUGACCGAAUGGGAACUCCAUUUGUUCGAUUCUGAUCU